AAUCCAAGCAUCGGGCAUUUCCAAAGUAAUUUUUUAAAUCGUUCCCUUGCUUCAUACAGUGUUUCAUUCUCUAAUUGUCGAAAAGAUGAGGUGUCAUUUCUAAGCUU
Molecule: small nucleolar RNA, 107 nt
Organism: Gossypium raimondii (Peruvian cotton)
Lineage: Eukaryota; Viridiplantae; Streptophyta; Magnoliopsida; Malvales; Malvaceae
Rfam family: Plant small nucleolar RNA R71
About the family: R71 is a member of the C/D box family of snoRNAs containing the C (UGAUGA) and D (CUGA) box motifs.
Source: Rfam